Molecule: ribosomal RNA, 330 nt
Filed under: Triticum aestivum (bread wheat)
Lineage: Eukaryota; Viridiplantae; Streptophyta; Magnoliopsida; Poales; Poaceae
Description: partial small subunit ribosomal RNA
Source: RNAcentral
AUGUACAUGCCGCGCCAGCAGGAAAAGGGAAAAAAAAAACACGCGAAAAGAGGAGGAGGAGGAGGAAGAAUUCCAUCGACAGCCCUCCCUCGGAACUAUCGGAUCUCGGGAAGAAGAUAUAUCCAUCGCUGGCACCCGUCGUCUUCCUCCCCCUUCUUCCCCAUCCCAUCUUCGUCCACUCGCGAGCUCGCCAUUAAUCCCACUCCACUCGGCUCCAGAGGGCCGGCCGGCGGCCUCCGCUCGAAGUCGAAGGUGCGACGACGUCGUUUUCCACCCGUCCCCACGUCAGCCACUCCACUCCCGGAAGGUCCCCCUCUCGCCCCCCGUUAA